ACCAGGCUUUAAUCCUAACAUUUAAGAGGAAGAGCAGGUGGGCCUCUGUGAGGAUCGGGUCAGCCUCGUCUACACAGAGUUCCAGACCACCUAUGAAUUCACAGCAGUUGUGGUUGCUUGGAUCAAGCCAGUUAACAUUCAAGCAUGGAGGCGUGUUAGGUCCAAAGUGGACCCCCAAAAUGUCAGUGUCAGGGACAAUGUCUAAAUGACAGUCUGGACUCAGCUCAGGCUGGACUCUGACCAGGUAAAUAGAAGGGUUGCUAGCAGAUAAACAAAAGCCUAAAAUCAGCAUGCUGUGGGAUGGUCUGUAUGUCAAAUGUGUUGCUGAUUGGUCAAUGAAUAAAUCACUGAUUGGCAGUGGCCAGGCAGGAAGUAUAGGCGGGACUAACAGAGAGGAAAAAUUGAGAGAACAGGAAGCUGGGAGAGGAGACACUGCCAGCCGCCAUCAGGAUAAGGAAGAUGUAAAGUACCGAAAGCCAGAGGCUAUGGAUUUGUUCCAGAUUAAGAUACAUCAGGUUUGACCAGCCAAGACCCCCUGAAAGGUCUCCGAUGACACCAUGGCUCAGAUGAUCCAACAUCCAGAACCGUUUCAAGGCAACUGGCUCAGAUGAUACAGCCUCACGGACUACUCCAUGAUCCUAAAAUUUUCUUUGUUUCCCCAGAAGAAACAGCGCCCCCCUCCAGCAGGAAGUAGUAAGAAAAGCUACGCCCAAAUUCCCAAAUAUACCAAGCUGACUUUGGAGAUAUGUAAAGGUUAAAACCUUCCUUUUUAAGAAAAGAAAAGGGGAGGUGCUGUGGGAUGGUCUGUAUGUCAAAUGUGUUGCUGAUUGGUCAAUGAAUAAAUCACUGAUUGGCAGUGGCCAGGCAGGAAGUAUAGGCGGGACUAACAGAGAGGAAAAAUUGAGAGAACAGGAAGCUGGGAGAGGAGACACUGCCAGCCGCCAUCAGGAUAAGGAAGAUGUAAAGUACCGGUAAGCCACAAGCCACGUGGCAAGGUAUAGAUUAAUAGAAAUGGAUUAAUUUAAGCUGUAAGAACAGUUAGCAAGAAGCCUGCCACAGCCAUACAGUUUGAAACCAA
Long non-coding RNA from Peromyscus californicus insignis, 1078 nucleotides. RefSeq lists it as uncharacterized. The record is from RefSeq and is a predicted model, not a curated record. The transcript has 2 exons. Lineage: Eukaryota; Metazoa; Chordata; Mammalia; Rodentia; Cricetidae.